This 10039-nucleotide long non-coding RNA is filed under the name Ananas comosus (pineapple). RNAcentral's name for it is "long non-coding RNA (ACOM_LNC013644)". Lineage: Eukaryota; Viridiplantae; Streptophyta; Magnoliopsida; Poales; Bromeliaceae. The record is from RNAcentral.
CGCCCUAGCCUGUACCAGGGACAUCAUAAGUCCUGGGAUUCCGGAAUCCACUUACCACAGGUCGAGGGUUCAUAGCCAACCCUAUACUGUCGACCUAGCUCAAUCUAGUGGCUAUACCACUAUACUCAUCAACCUAGGUUCCAACACUCUAGGUUCUAUGUCCACAUCACUUAACCUAGAUACACUUGCUAGGUUCUUAUCAUCUUUGCCUAGAUGUCCACUUCUAGGUUUAUUAGUUCAACCUAGGUUUACUAACACUAGGUCAAAUGCCACACACCUAGAUUGUUCGACUCUAGGUUUACUAAUCGACCUAUGUUCUUUAACACUAGGUUAGAUGCCACUCGAUCUAUCUGACAACCUAGUUGUCCAAUCAACUCUAUUUACACUAGAGUUAUCAUGUCACUUACUUAGCUCUCAUGAUGCUACUUUGCAUUCUCUACUUUAACUAGCAUUAUAUACAUGCUAUGCUCAUUAUGCUCUCUACUUAGCAUUUCCAUCUAUGCAUAAUUAGUACAUGCAUUCUUUACAUCAACUAGCAUUAAUUACUUAGCAUGCUUUCCAUUUAGCAUUUGCAUCUUAUGUUAAUCAUGUUCUCUACUUAACAUUUACUAGUAUAGCUCUAUGCAUCAUUAUUUAACAUGCAUUUACACUAUGCAUCAUUAUCAUCAUGCAUUCCAAUUACUUGCUUGCAUUAUUUAUUUAUCAUGCUCAUCAUACAUUCUUUACUUUUCUUGCAUUUACUCUAUGCAUGCAUUGUUAUUAACAUGCAUUUACUUUACAUCAUGCAUCAUUGUUAACUUGCAUCCUUUACUUAGCCUUUACCUUAUGCAUAUUUACUAAUGCAUCAUUUAGCCUUGUCUACAUGCACAUGCAUCAACGUGAGAUUACAUUGCUAAGACAUAAAGGGCGACCUAGUCGCUUCGGUAAGCACAAGCCACCUUAACUCGCGUUCCGAUUGCUUGUCGACACUUGCAAUCAGCCUCCCGCGGUACCCGCAUCCGGCACGGCCCGAUACUGCAACUGCGCCUCAACCGUGCUCCGCUUCACAUCCCCGAAAAUUAUAGGUCUUCGGUUAUGUGCCACGAUGCCUCAAAUCCAUUUCCAUGAUUUUACGACGUCGCCUCGGCCCUCCAGGCGGAAACGAAACCUAAACGUCCGUUUCUUUAAUAACUUCGCGUAGGCUCGACGAAACGCCGAACGGACUUCGCCAACGCGUUCGUUUACCUAGCAAUUAGGUUUAUACAUGAUCAAAUUAGAUCAAAACCCCUCACAAGCAAAAACCCCUCUUUUGAUGCCCUAAGAUGCAACUAUGCAAGAAUUCAUCAUUUAAUAUCAAAAUUCGAGCAUCAACCAUCUAUUUAGCAUCUAGGAGUUUCACUAAACCCAUUUCUAAGGCAUACAAAUCAUUACUUAGCAAUCUACCAUUAUUGCUAACAAAGCUUACCUCUCAAACCCAAGCUCUCUUCAAGCCAAUAGUGAAGAAAAGGAAGGCUUCACCUCUAAGCAAGCUUUUUCUUCUCCAAAUCCACCUCCAAUUCUCUUUGGUGGAGAAAUUGCUAGAGAGAGAGAUCUUUCUCUUUGGUUGUAAGUGUGAGGGAAAGAGAGAAAAGGCUCAAUCCUUCAUACAUAUAUAUGCAUAUAGGAAACUUGACCUCCAAGUUUUAUCCAAGAACACUAUUCACAUUCAGGCAGCUCGAAAUCUGAUAUCUUUCGCCGGAGCCCUCUGAAUAUCCGUUUGAGCUCAAAUUUGAAGUCAUGUUCGGUUUUACUUAAAAGAGUCCAAAGAAAUUUUAAUAUUUCAGUUUCGACCCCGUUUGGUCACCGAAAGCUGUACCGAAUUGUAAUCUUUAUCAGAUAACUUUCAGAUUUUAUUUCUCACUCUACGGUUGUCAGAAAAAUAUGAAACUUUAAAUCUAGCCUCAUUAAAAUAUUUCUGGCAUCCCCGCCAAUUUUCAUAAUUUUCUGAGACUGUGCAUUUUCUGCUAAUUUAUCUGCCCCGUUUCUUACAGAAAAUUCUAAAUCUUCUGUUGUCGCUCCGAUUUCAGCACAGGUCAUUUCCAACUUAUACUUUACACCCUUAAAUCCAAUAAAAAUAGUAUCUCAUACUAUUUUUAUUUAUUUUCACUUUUAUAUUUAAAAUCCGGUAUGUUACAUUCCGCCGCAACCUCACCGGAGCCAUUUAAAUGUAUACCGUAACUUCAUAGUUUUAGAAGUCCGGUACCUUACAUUCUCCCCUCCUUAAAAAGAGUUUCGUCCCCGAAACUCACUCACUUCAACCCAAUUCACACUCUAAUUCUCUUUCGUGAGUGACAAGGGGUACAGUGCACUUUUGCAUCUCGGAGUGGCUUUUCGCUCAUCGGAACUAUCCAUAGGCUCACUACGGAAGAUGUGAGACUAGAUUCACUCACAUUUGCCACGUGCAGCUCCAAAAGUGUAUUACCACCAUGCAAAGAACUACUCUUGCAUUAUACACCAAAACGAAAAAUUUCACUCCGAUUCGAUCACCUGCAUUGCUUAGAAGCAAUAUCGUUGGUGACUCGACCAAUCGCGAGUGGUUCAUCACAACCGGAUCCUUGUUCUAUCACGAGAUGACCCAUUCCGGCACAUCUCCAAUCUCAAUCCACAUCUAAUCCUUGGGUUGGGUCACCACACACUCGAUGCGUCAUCAAUCUCAUGAUCUAUCACGUGGCAUUCCACGUACUCGGGUCUCAGCUCGGACUACCGUCCUGACCAAAACUCUCCGCCCUACCUAUAGGUAUCGGGCCGCUGUCUCUCACAGCCGACUGCGCCUGCCCAAUGGGCCCAGGCUCCACAGUCCACAGAUGGUCCAGGCACGGGUCGUCCCCAAGCACUACCCGCCAUCGUCGUCCCACACGACAUGCUCUACAGAGCUACACACUCUAUCGGCUCCUAGGCACCUAGUGCGAGCCACCAGCCCUCACGAGUGAUCCAUGGCCCGCUUCACACUUAGCCCUGCUGAAGUGCUACUGCCAAUUCACUCGACAGGCUGAAUCGAAACCGUACUCUACGAGUAUCUAUACUCGAGCGCUUUAAGCCUCUACAGCGUCUCACACGAAGCCUAGCAUCAGGCAACUUAGCCUAUGCACACCUGCCACACAGGCAUAACUCAUCCACCCCAACUCGAGGUACUACUAGGCCAACAGGCCAAACUCGGCACUAACCGACCAAUUUCACGACAGCGGUUCAUCUUCGCUGUACGAUCUACCGAAUCCACAUCCGAAAUACUUUUGGGAUAUUCGGGUGUUUCCAAACAUCAAGGCCCGACUCUCGAAAUCUCUAACCCAUCACUUUGAGAGUCCUUUCAUCAUUCGGUUUCCAUUGCGAACCUCGUUUCCUGUCCAACAUCACCACUAGCCAUUUGCUAGCACCACUUGGCUUUCGACUUGCACCAGCAGGUGCCACUUCUCACGACGCAAGCAUGUACGGGUGUCUACUUACCCGACUAUUCGGUCCCUACUAUGCAAUGUAUAAAUAGUAGCAACUGACCAUAUGAUAAAUGCAUGCUAUGCAUCAACUUGAGAUCAUGCAAAAGUAUAUGCUUGCUCAAUUAACUCAUACCUGCCACAACGUCAUCAGCAACGGCAGGCACCACAGCUCGGGUCGCUUAUCCAUGGCCACUUGGCGCUCGUCGCGAACCCUCUGGUUGCAUCACUCUCAACGGCCGCUCCCCCGACCAUGCCGCAGGUGGCACACCCGCCGGCUGUCCCAAGGAGGAAUGGGCCGUCGCCAGUGUCAAGGCCCGGUUACCACCUUGUGGACACUCGUCCCGCACAUGGCUCGGCAGCCCACACUUGAAGCACUUGCCCUCUCGCUGUUCACAUUGCUGUGGAAAAUGAGGGCCUCCACAAAUUGCACAUCUCGCCGAGGACCGAAUAUGAUACGUCCCCGGAGCUCUAGAUCGAGAGCGCGUCCUCACUGAGGUCUGUUGGGAACUUGAUUGACCAUCGUGUCCGCUCACUGGCCGUCCUUUCCCUUUUUCCUUGUAGUGUUCCUCACGCUUCUCCCGCAGGAAAGCAUUGCCUUGUUCUAUCCACAAGGCCCGAUCCAGGACUUCAGCAAAAGUCUGCAACUUUAGCACAAGCACCGUCUGGUACAGGUCUGGCCGAAGUCCACGCACAAAGCAGUCGGCCUUGUCCUUGUCAUCCCGCACCACGUUUGGAACACAAUGCACAAUACGGGAAAAUUCUCGCUCGUAUUGCCUGACCGUGCGACUUCCUUGCCGCAGCUUAAGAAACCUCUCCUGAAGUUUCCGCUUCUCGCUAUCGGGGAAAUAAGCAGAGAACAACAUUCCCCGAAAUUCUUCCCAAGUCAUUGGAGGGAGACUAGGCAGUCGAUCUCGCUUGACGCCCUUCCACCACACCUUCGCCGAUUGUUUCAGAUAAUGCGCGGCUAGGUUCACUUUGUCUCGCUCCAGCGUGUACAGAUCCUCGAAGAGUGUUUCCAUGGAAUCAAUCCACAUCUCAACGACCAAUGGAUCUGCAUCCUCACCAUCAAAGGUAGGCGGAUCAAACUUCUUAAAAGUCAUGAGGGCCGCUAAAGCUCGCUCCCUUUCCGCCGCAACCUCAGGGCCAACAGGAGUCGGAUCGCCCAACCCCGACGGAAACAGCUCCGCCGCAACUCUCGGCUGUCCUGACCAGCCGCAGCUGGUGCUGCGACCAGCCGAUCCACAGUCUCUUGGAGUCGUUCCAUUCGCUCUUCUUGGCGCAUAGCAGCCUCCUGCUGCCGUUGCACCACAUCAGCUUGUUGUCGCAUCACUCCAAUGAGUGUGGCCAACUGAUCGCGAAGCUCCGAGUCUCCGCUCGCGUCAAUUUGCUCAGGGACGCCACUUGUCCCCUCCCGCGCCGAUCUGGACGAAGAUCGCCUACGCGGUGCCAUCGUUUCCUGAAACACGACAACUCGAUUAGCUCUCGACCCUCCGGGUCGAACACGAGACCACUAACACCGGCUCAAAAGCCAAUUAGGCGAAAGUCGAACAAGGACGUCUAUUCUCGUCACUCGGCUUUAUGUUGUGCGCGCCCAACAUAAGCACACUUGGUCGAGAAUAAACCAUACCUUGAGUCUGCCUCUAAAAUCCGUCUUAGAGGUUUACGACACAACCAAAUCCAUAAUCCUUUCGCCACGAAUCACAAGUCCUCGUCUCUCACGAGCCUUAUUCUCCUAUGGUUUACUAUCCUAGGGUCUCCUAGGUCUGUCUGAACCAUUUUUUCCCAUUUUCUACUUUAUGCUCUGAUACCAUCUUAUCUGUCACGCCCCGCGACCAACCGCCAAUUUGGACCGGGUCGCGGCGCCGCCGACAGACCGCCGAACGGACCGGGAAUUCCCCUGUCCGCGGACAGAGUCUCCCCAGUACGUCCAAGGCGUCGCAAUCCAAACAAUCAACGAAUGUUCCAACAAGGAACGGAUAUCAAUCCAGAUUGCAUAAGGAAGUAUCAAAUACAUAAUCUACUUGCUAUUACAAGCAUACAUUUCACAAUCACGUUAUACAUCACAGUUUCAGUUUACAUUUUUACUUCCAAUUACAAUCUUAUUAUUACAUCAGAGUUUGAUAUAUUUUCUUUUCUUGUCUUCUAGACCCCUAAGCUAGACUGUCUCAAGGUACUGCUACCUCGGUCUCUGUGGUGGGGCGCUAUCUACUGAGCUACGCCCUCGCCUCGCGCCGCCGCGCCGCACACGAACGACCUGAAAACCCCAAAACAACGUGGGGUGAGAACCAACUCCAUGGUUCCCAGUGGGUACGGCCACCCAAGGGAAAAGCUCGACCGAUAGGUCCGAGGAGGCACUGCAACAUGUUAGUUCAACAAUAUACAACAGAUAUAUAUAUUCAAUUGAAAUACAUGCCAUGCCUCACGAUAUGCGAUAUGAAAAUCAUGCAGCAACUAGUAGAUCAUUUGAAUUCUACUUUUACUUGGCUACUUUAGCUCAUAACUUUACUCUAAGGUUUCUACUACCUUAGGAUCACAACACUAACCACUGGCUUCUAAGGUUUCUAUUACCUUAGCUCAAGCCUCUAUCUCUAGCUCAUAAGGGUUUCUCUACCCUAUCAUAGCUAACCACCCGACUCGGCUUCGAGUCAAUCAUCCGCGGAUAGUCCGCGCACUGGCUGCUCAACAGCCUACCGCNUAUUCACAUCAGGCAGCUCAAAAUCUGAUAUCUUUCGCCGGAGCUCCCUGAAUAUCCGUUUGAGCUCAAAUUUGACAGUCAUGUUCGGUUUUGCUUAACUUAACGAAAGAAAUUUUAAUCUUUCAGUUUCGACCCCAUUUGGUCACCGAAAACUGUGCCGAACUGCAAUCUUUUAUCAGAUGGCUUUCGGAUUUUAUUUCUCACUCUACGGGUGUCAGAAAAAUACGAAACUUUAAAUCUAGCCUCAUAAGAAUAAUUUUGGCUUAUCCUCCAGUUUUCAGAAUUUUCUGACACUAUGCGUUUUCUGCUAAUCUAUCUGCCCCGUUUCACACAGAGAAUUCUAAAUCUUCUGUUUUCGCUCCGAUUUCAACACGGGCCAUUCCAGACUUAUAUUUUAUGUCUAUAAGUCCAAUAAAAUAGUAUUUCACACUAUUUUCAUUUAUAUUUAUUUUUAUAUUAAAAUUUCAGCAUACUACACCCCACCGCAACUUCAUAGUUUAAGAAGUUCGGUACCUUACACCUAGGCUAUGCCGACUCGGGUUACCGCUAUCUCUGGUCUCUGGGGUAGGGCACUAUCUAUGGAGCUACGCCCUUGCCUCACGCCGCCGCGCCGCUCACGUGCGAACCUGUAACACCCCAAAAUAACGUAGGGUGAGAACCAACUCCAUGGUUCCCAGUGUGUACGGCCACCCAAGGAAAAAGCUCGACCGAUAGGUCCAAGGAGGCACUGCAAUCAUGUUAGUCCAAAAACAUCUACAGAUAUAUAUAUCGUAAUGUAAUUAUGCAACUAACAGAUAACAUGCCUUGCAAUAUGCAAUAUGAAUAUAUGCAAUCAACUAGUAGAUCUAUUGAUUCUAUGUUCAACUUUGCUAAUUUUAGAUCAUGUCAUUCAAUUCUAAGGUUUCUACUACCUUAGGUUCACAACUCAAGUGCCAUUUGCUUCUAAGAUCUCUAUUACCUUAGCUCCUGCUUCUAUCACUAGCUUAUAAGGUUUACAUUAACCUAAUCAAGCUAACCACCCGACUCGGCCUCGAGUUAAUCAUCCGCGGAUAGUCCACGCACUGGCUGCACCUCAGCCUGGCUGCCGUCAUAGCCUACCGCACCUCUGACUUAACCAUCUGGCGGCAAAUUCAUCGCAUCGAACCCAACAACGACUCAAGUCAUGACUUAGCCAUCUGGCGGCGAACUCAUCGCAUCACACCCAACAAUGGUUUAAGUCGUGACUUAGUCAUCUGGCAGCGACCACAUCGCCCUUACCCAGCAAUGGUUCAAGUCAAUCUAGGCGGCAUCAUCCGAUAAGCUAAAUGGGCGAGGAGAACCACACAUACCCAAUUCCAGCUUAUUCUCAUGGCAUCCCGGGCGAGGAGAACCACACAUACACGUUGAAUCACUGCCAGGCGAGGAGAACCACACAUACCUGCAGUUAUGAUUCUAUUUGCCAUCUCUUUUAUCAUAAGUUCCCACCGCUUCUUUUGCGGCCACUUCACUAGGGAUUCCGGAGUCCACUUCACAUAACUCAAGGGUUGGUCUCAAACUCUAUAGUAUUGACCUAUCUAGGUCCAAUGUCCUUUUCACCCUAGGUCCAACUGACUCUAGGUUCAAUGUUUCUAUCACAUAACCUAGGUUUACUUUAACUCUAGGCUCAAUCCAUAACCUAUGUUCUCGACACUAGGUUAAUGCCACACACCUAGAUUCAAUUAACUCUAGGUUCAUUCUCAACCUAUGUUCUUUAACACUAGGUUAGAUGCCACUCGACCUAUGUUUAAUAACACUAGGUUCAUUGUCAUUCAUGUUCAACCUAUGUUUAAUACACUAGGUUAAGUGCCACUCGAUCUAUUCGACAUCCUAAUUGUUCACAUCGAGUUCAAUAGAUAUUCACAUUUUAUCUAGCAUGCAUUAUAUGAUGCCAACAUGCAUAUUCUUUCUAACAUGAUCUCAUAGCUCCAAAAUGCUCCUAACAUUUAUUCCACUAAGCAUAUAUAUAUCAUCAUGCUCACAAUGCCAAUAUGCAUCUUAUCUAACAUGAUCCACAACAUGUUAACAUUCAUGUCUAUCUCACAUGAUCUCAUAAUGCUAUCAUACAUUUACCAUCUAGAGCUUGCAUUUAACAAUUAGAACAUAUUCAUAAUGUGUUAACAUGCAUAUAAUCUAGCAUUUUCUCAUCAUGUCAUCAUACAUGUAUUAACUAGCAUAUUUACAUUAUGUCAUUAACAUACAUUCUUUACAAUAUGCUCACAUGCAUUAUUUAGUAUUACUACAUGCAUCAUCUUGCAUUUACAUGCAUCAAUAUGAAAUCACGUUUCUCUUAGACAUAAGGGCGACCUAGUCGCUUCGGUAAGCACAACCCACUUCGAUUCGCUCUCUGAUUGCUUGUAGUCACUUGCAAUCGGCCUCCCGCGGCACCCGUAUCCGGCACGGCCCAAUCUUGCAGUUGCGCACAAACCGUGCGCCGAAUCGCGGCCCUAGAAAUUAUAGGUCUACAGUUAGUUGCCAUGAGCCCCCGAUUAUAUUUUCAUGAUUUUUGGACGUCGCCUCGGCCCUCCAAGCGAAAACGAAGCUAAACAGUCUGUUUCUUCGAUAUCUUCGGGUAGGCUCGACGAAUGCUCAAACCGAGUGCACGAACGCGUUCGGGGACCUAGCAAUUAGGUUUACGGAGGGUCAAUUGAGAUCAAACCCUCAUAUUUCCAAAAACCCCAAAAUUGGAGCCCUAGAUGCAAUUAUAGCAAAAUACUCCAAAUUGAUUCAUGAAUCAAGUAUUUUCCAUCUAUUUAGCAUGCUAGGAUUUCAUCUAAACCAUUCUUAGAGCAUAUAAAUCAAACCCUAAGAAAUCACCAUGAAUGGACAUCAAGCUUACCUCCAAAGCUUGCUCCAAAUGCAAGGAAGAAGAAGAAGAAGAGGAAGAUCUACUCCUUUGCCUUCUUCUCCACCAAUCCCUCCUCCAAGAUCCACCUUUUUAGAGUGAGAGAGAGAGUUUAGAGAGGGAGAGUGUGUGUGAGGGUGAGAGAAAUGAGAGGGGAGAGCUCCAACCCCAUUCUAUACACUCUCAUAAUGCCACAAAUGCAAAUAACCCCCUCAACUUCCAUUUUAGUGCACAGCCCCCGCGGGGCCAUUUUUUGUAUAAGUGACCGGUCCUUGGACUUGAGGGACCAGUCCCCGUAGGUCCAGAAUUCCAGCAUUUUUAGGACUUAGCCAAAUUUCAGCCUUUUUCGUUUCUUCUCCGUUUUCGCUCGUUUUCGCUCGUUUGGCCUCCGAUUCUUUUCAAAUUUAACCGAGACUCUCCAAACAUAUUUUCAAGCAUAUUUUCAUCAUCUUUUCAUCCACGCUAAUGCCGAAUUUAGUCCAUGAUCCAACAUAGCCUUUCGGGUCCCGUUUUUGCGACUACGCGCACCGAAAAUGCCCGAAUGCUUCCGAACUUCACCGGAAACAUUCCAAUAGCUCUCCAAACCAAUAUAAAUCGUAACGUCAUUAUUUUAGAAGUCCGGUACCUUACACAACCUGUUGCAGGUUCAAUGGGUAGAAACAAGUUGAAUAGGUAGCUAUGAGGAGCACUGUUUUAUAUCCUCAUCUCUAUGGCGACAGUGCUCAUAUCUGCAAGCGGAUAGGAAGGGCGUUGGCUCUGAAUGGCUCCGAGACCUAUAAGGCAGGGUAUGACCUUGCAGAUACUCUUUGAGGACCUACUAUAUGUGUGGAGUCGUGAGGCCGCGAUUAUGGGAAUAGGGCGGUUCCCUAAAACACACAGGAAACGAUAUUAGCGCAUGGCCAUAAAAGCGCUCAUCCGCUUAGAAUCUAAACGGCUGUACCAUGUGUGCUGUUUGUGGAAAUCCGAUUCAUCGGCCUUGGUUCAAGGCGAAGUCUACCAUUGUGCCCUCGGAUGUAUAUAGACAAGUACUAAGUGAAG